Molecule: long non-coding RNA, 4348 nt
Filed under: Homo sapiens (human)
Lineage: Eukaryota; Metazoa; Chordata; Mammalia; Primates; Hominidae
Description: HSALNT0177285
Source: RNAcentral
GGAUGAGUCACGGAGAGCUAGUGUAGCAGGACGAGUUGCAGACAAAACUCCUCAGACACCAGAUUAAAGAAGGAAGAGGUUUUUUUAUUCAGCCAGGAGCGUUGGCAGACUGGUGUCUUAAGAGCCGAGCUCCCGGAAAAAGAAAUUCCUAGCCCUUUUAAGGGCUUACAACUCUAAAGGGUCUACGUGAAAAAGUCAUAAUAGAUCAAGUAAGCCUGAGGAACGUGACUGGGGGCUACAAACAUCAGCUAACAGAACAAAAAGUUUUUACAGUGCUUUCUCAUACAAUGUCUGGGAUUUACAGAUAACACAGGUAGUUUUGGUCAGGGGUUAAUAUUAUUGUUGUUUUAACCACCGGGGCCAGGUGGUGGCGCCAAGGUCGUCUAGCUAUUUAUUUUACUUCUGUUUUUUCCAACUUUUUGCUUUCUCCCUUUUUUGCUGUCUUACAAACUAGGGAAAAGGGGAGGUUGGGGAGAAACUGGGAAGGACAACAGGAGAAGUGGUGGUCUCAUACCAUAUUUCCCCCCUUUGAGCAUUUUCACUUUUUAGUGGGAGUUCUCACUCUCAUCUUUACUUUUUGAGUCUAUUUGUGAGAUAGAGCGAUAGUGAUUUAUAUAACACACGUGUGCUGAAGUUUUCUGAUGAACCAAAGUAGCUACAAAACCUUUGAUCAUUUGAAAAAGCAAGGGUAAUACACAGGGGAGCAGCAAGCAAGUUCCUAUCACUAGCAAUACACCUACAAUGAGGGUUUUAAAUCCUCUUAUAGCUGGAAACCAUUUUUCAAAUAAAGACUCAGGAUUAAACUCGUGCCAAACCUGUACAGGCACAUGUGCCACCUUUGUCAUGUCCCUGACUAUGUUUUUAACCACCUGUCCUUGAUCAUUUAUUUGUAGGCAGCAAUUGGUUAAGUUAAAUUUUCUACAAACUCCUCCUUCAGCUACUAGCAAGUAGUCUAAGGCCAGUCUAUUCUGAUAGAUAGCAUUCCUCAUUUGGGUUUCUUGCCAAGCUAAAACAGUCAAAGCUCUGCCAGUUUCAUUAGAAAUUAUUUCUAAGAUGACCUGCAACCGUAUGAUCCAAUUGAGCAUGUAGAUGGGUUCGGUAUCCCCAUGAGCCAUCUUGUGCCCAUGUGGCAGGCCCAUAAUACUGAAUGAUCCUUUCACGGGGCCACUCAUUAUCUUUCCAGUUUCCUAUAACUAUGCCUUUCUUUUCUCGGGAGGCGUAGACAGAGAAACCUAGCAGCUCACCCAUUUUUAUGGGUAAUAAGAAAAAGGAUGGCUUAAUAGUGCCAAUAACACAACUGUCUGCCCAUUUAUUAGGUAACCGAAAGUAGGCUCUGUGCCUACAUAUCUAGUAUAGUCCAGAGGGAACUGUCCAGUCCUGAUGAGAUUCUGGAUGAGCCUAAGCAGUUUUUAAUUUAGAAAAUUUACUAAAUGGAUUCUUUUCAGUGUGGUUUAGGUCCUACUAAGUAAUUGUCUUUGUUGUGCUGUUAUACAACUUCUGUCCUAUACAAUUAGGCUUUCCUACAGGGAUGAUAAAGUCUUUCCCUUCUCUAGCUAUACAGUAUUGUCUAAUAAUUGAGGUUUUUAGGACCUAGAAGUUGCUAGCUUCGGCCUUCUAAACUGGAAUUAUAUCAGGAGCUGGAUCAGUAGGCACCAACUCUCGGGCUUCCCAAGGCCAUCUGUCUCCGAUAGUGGUUCCUCCGCGUACAUAACAAGAAGUAACAUUAAGUAAGAAAAUUACAUUUUCUGCUAAUUGGAGAAACAAAUUUUUUGUCUUUUUCAGAAGUUCUGGUGCUGGCAGAUUCAGCUCCUCAUAAAAGGUUUGAAAUACUGGUUUGGGAGAGCACUUGUGGACCUCCCCUCUAAUUAAAAUGACAACUUGAGGGUUUAACCCUGUCCUAUUGAUCCCCAGGGUUACACGUUCUCCCUUUUUCCAAUGGGGAUCUAGGGGAUUGGUAAUUAUUAGUUCUAGUGGGUUACAGUGACCGGCAGCACAGGAGGGGUUGGCUUCCCCCUUCUGAAGAUAAACCGGGUCCUUUUUGUUCUUUUUUAAAGUAGCCUAAAUAACACAUGGCCAAUAGGCACAAUUUUUACAAACCCCUGACUCAUGACAAACAUUUAUUUCUACUCUUUAGCUCCUUUCUCAGUUAAGAGAACCACAUCCUAUUUCUAGCUUUUUACUAUUAAUGGCUGCACAAGCAUCAAAUCUUAAAGUUAUUUGCUUGGGGAUUUCUUUUUCUUCUGUUCUAGUUAUUAUUUUACUUGUAUCACCUAGGAAAAGGCCAGUUCUUAUUCUUAUUUCAAAAACGGUGGUGCAGGGGGCUCAGAUGGGUUAUAACACACAUCAGGUCGGUCAUUUCUCGGGCUACAUACCUUGUACUGAGUGGCAUUAUACAAACAAGUUUCUCUUAUUGUUUCCAUACAUUCAUAAUAACUAUAGAACAGAAAGAUUGUUUUAAUUUGCUGUCCUGCUUCGGUGACCUGAUGAAUACACUGGGAACAGUCCCCAGUUUGAGUAAGGUCAGUUGAAGCCCUUACUGUAUAAGUCCAAAAUUUAAGAAAAAUGAAUCUCAUGAUGAGCUUCCUCAGGCUUCGGCCGUGCUUGGACUAGUCAGCUUCCGGGUGACUGGAGCAGGGCUUGUCAUCUUCUUCAGGGUCACUCUGCAAGGGUUAUCUGGGCUUGGUCUUGCCUCCCAGGUUUCAGGCGCUGCAGGUUUUAUAUGGCUGUGUUGGAUCCAGGCUGGGAUUCCUUCCACCUUCACAGCGGUGGGAGUGCUCAGGACGACAAUCUGGGGUCCUUUCCACCGUGGACACAAACAGGCAACUUUCCAGUCCUUGAUCCACACUCGAUCAUCUGGGGAGAAUGGGUGAACUGGGGAGAAUAAGCUAACAGGGCAUCUCUCAUUUACCCAGGCUGAGAUUUUUUGUGUAACUUUUCCUAAGGCCUGUAGCUGUCGCUGUAACUCAAUUUCACCUAACUCUCAGGGAGUGCCUGGAAGUCCCCGCAAUAUAGGAGGGGGCCUACGAUAUAAUAUUUCAUAAGGGAAAUAUCCUGUUCUUUUAGAAGCGGUACAUCUAAUUUUAAAUAAUACCAUAGGGAGAGCCUGUAGCCAUUUUAAUCCUGUUUCCUGACAUACUUUCCCUAAACUAUUUUUGAUAGUUUGAUGCAUUCGCUCCACCUUUCCGGAACUCUGAGGCCACUAGGCAGCAUGCAGUUUCCAUGUGAUCCCUAAUAUCUUUGCCGCCUUCUGUACUAAGUCAGCCACAAAUGCUGGCCUGUUAUCUGAGCCGAUCCCUAAGGACAGUUCAAAUCUAGGAAUAAGAUCUCGAAGAAGCACACGGGUUACUUCACGAACUUUCUCAGUUCGUGUUGGAUAAGCCUCCACCUACCCAGAGUAGGUACGCCCAAGAACUAGUAAAUACUUGUUACCUCUACACUUUGACAUCUCUGUGAAGUCCACCUGGAGAUCUUCAAAGGGGGCUGCUCCAUAAGCUUGUAUGCCGGGUGGAAUAGCUGGACCUUGCCUCGCUUUAUGCUGUCGGCAGGUAACACACCACUGCGUCACCGUUUUGGCAAGAGCUGACAAAUGCGAGAUGUAGAAAUACCAGCCUAACAACUUUUCAAGUGAUUCCUGGCCUAGAUGGGUGGCUUCUUGCACAGCCAGUACAACUGCAGCUCCUAGCAGCUGUGGCACAGCUACUCUCCCAUCCGGUAACCGAAUUCAUCCUUCCUCCAUCACUUGUCCUCUCUCUGCCUGGAGAAAGUCCUUUUCUUCUUUAGAAUAAGUAGGUACAAGAUCAGGUACUUGAGGGAGCAUGGGGGCUGUGACUGAUGCCCGGAAGGGGGCAGAUGCUGCUUUUCGAGCCUCUAAGUCAGCGCGGGAAUUCCCUAAACCCACCAAGGUGGAAGCUCGCUGGUAUCCUCUGCAACGCAUAACUGCCACCUUGUGGGGUCUCCAUAUGGCUUUUAAUAAUUGCAAGAUUUCUUGUUGAUAUUUUAUGUCUUUUCCCCCAGAGUUCAAUAGGCCCUUUUCUUUAUAUAAUGCUCCACGCACUUGAAGGGUUGAAAAGGCUUAAUGAGAGUCAGUGUAAAUGUUGACAUUCUUAGCUUCAUUGAGUUCUAAGGCCCGAAUUAAAGCAAUGAGUUCAGCUUUCUGAGCUGAAGUGCCCUGGGGAAACGAUCUGGCUUCAGCAACAGUGUCUAGAGUUACCACCGCAUAUCUUGCACAUCUCUCUCCUUGUGGGUUGAUGAAGCUGCUCCCAGCCACGUAUAGUUCCCAGUCUACUGAUGCCUAAGGCUGGUCCUGGAGGUUAGGUCUGCUAGAGUCAACUGAGUCCAACACUUCUAC